AUUGAACGCUGGCGGCGUGCCUAACACAUGCAAGUCGAGCGAGGGGAGUUCUUCGGAACAAACCUAGCGGCGGACGGGUGAGUAACACGUGGGCAACCUGCCUCAUAGAGGGGAAUAGCCUUCCGAAAGGGAGAUUAAUACCGCAUAAGAUUGUAGCUUCGCAUGAAGUAGCAAUUAAAGGAGCAAUCCGCUAUGAGAUGGGCCCGCGGGGCAUUAGCUAGUUGGUGAGGUAACGGCUCACCAAGGCGACGAUGCGUAGCCGACCUGAGAGGGUGAUCGGCCACAUUGGGACUGAGACACGGCCCAGACUCCUACGGGAGGCAGCAGUGGGGAAUAUUGCACAAUGGGGGAAACCCUGAUGCAGCAACGCCGCGUGAGUGAUGAAGGCCUUCGGGUUGUAAAGCUCUGUCUUCAGGGACGAUAAUGACGGUACCUGAGGAGGAAGCCACGGCUAACUACGUGCCAGCCGCCGCGGUAAAAC
RNAcentral lists this ribosomal RNA (481 nucleotides) under uncultured bacterium. Its description in RNAcentral is "bacterial SSU rRNA". It matches the Rfam family "Bacterial small subunit ribosomal RNA", at positions 29 to 526 of the family's 1533-position model. The record is from RNAcentral.